UACGGGGGGGGCAAGCGUUGUUCGGAAUUACUGGGCGUAAAGGGCUCGUAGGUGGCCAACUAAGUCAGACGUGAAAUCCCUCGGCUUAACCGGGGAACUGCGUCUGAUACUGGAUGGCUUGAGUUCGGGAGAGGGAUGCGGAAUUCCAGGUGUAGCGGUGAAAUGCGUAGAUAUUUGGAGGAACACCGGUGGCGAAGGCGGCAUUCUGGACCGAUAUUGACGCUGAGGAGCGAAAGCCAGGGGAGCAAACGGG
Molecule: ribosomal RNA, 253 nt
Filed under: uncultured bacterium
Lineage: Bacteria
Description: partial 16S ribosomal RNA
Rfam family: Bacterial small subunit ribosomal RNA
Source: RNAcentral